This 1981-nucleotide long non-coding RNA is filed under the name Nicotiana tabacum (common tobacco). Its description in RNAcentral is "long non-coding RNA (NTAB_LNC012908)". The record is from RNAcentral. Lineage: Eukaryota; Viridiplantae; Streptophyta; Magnoliopsida; Solanales; Solanaceae.
UGGGCAAACACUGUAUCAUUGAGCCAUCGUUCAUAAAAUAUGAGUACAUAUGGGACGUCAAGGCCUCUGGCAUACUGUACAAAAUGAACCUCUGUCUACGAAGCCUCUAAGAUUAACUAACAUAAAAUGGGACAGGGUACCAGACUACCCAUAAGUUUGUAGUAAAACUCUAACACAUUCACUCAAAGACUUGGCUGUACUGCGAAUGAGGUGGAGUCUUACCAAUCCUUCGCUGAAUGCCAAUAGCGUCUACUAUGAGGGCUCAUCAAACUGAUUAUCUGUACCUGCAGGCAUGAAUGUAGCAUCCCCAACAAAAGGACGGCACUACGAAUAAUGUACUGAGUAUGUAAGGCGGAACUGAAAUAUAACAAUAAGUCAACAUUAAUUAAAGACAUAUAAAAAUCAACAUGAAUCUCUGAAGUGCCACCAUAAAUGCAUACUUAUUAUACUUAUAUAUAUAUAUAUAUAUAUAUAUAUAUAUAUAUAAUGCUUCUCUUUGAGACUAUUAUCCAUAUCGUAUAAUGCAUGACUGCCCAACUGAUCAGUGGUAACUGCCCGACCGGCCGUCGCACGGUGGUAAAUAUAUGACUGCCUAACUGGUGGUAAAUAAUGAUACAUAACUGCCCAACCGAUGGUAGCUGACCGACCGGCCGUAGCUCGGUGGUAAAUGCAUGUUUGCCCAACCGGCUGUAGCACAGUGGUAAUGAAUAUGCAUGACUGCCCAACCAGCCGUAGCACGGUGGUAAAUAUGCAACUGCCCAACUGGCCGUAGCUCGGUGGUAAAUGCAUGACUGCCCGACCGGCUGUAGCUCGGUGGUAAAUGCAUAUGCAUUAAGAUGCAUGUAUCGCUAUAUCAUAAACAUUAACAUCUUUAUCAUAUACCUCAAUAAGGAACUAGAUACAUACUUAAACAUGCUUGAAUAUCAAUUUACAUGAAUGAAUAAUAUAGUCAUCCUUAACUGCUAAGAGUAGAACCACUUAUGGAAUAGCAUUCCGUUUACGUAUCGUUACUUGGAUCAUGCCAAAAGGAAAGAAGGGAUAGAUUUAACAUACCUGAGAUGACUCUCUUGACAAUCCUUCUAAUACAUAUUAAUUACGAUAAUAAGCAUCCAUUGCUGUGUUGAAAGUGGCUAUAUCUGGCUGACAACCUUCCAUACUCAUGAGCCCAAACAUUCCCAUGAAUCAAAAUCCCAACUUUUUCAUACCCAUUUGACAUAAAAGGAACACUAAUUAACGAUCACAAAGGAAGGAGAGGCACUGUUUCAGAUUAUAUAUGCCAGGCUUAUAGUAUGUUUUAUAAACUUCAAAUUCGGAUUUACCAAACUGUUAGUACAUAUUCAAUAUUUUUCUUUACCAAUAAAUGAAUUGAUGUCAAUAUGAUAUGUACAAAUUAUUAAGCUCACAAGUUUUACAUAUGAGCAUUAGUCAUUGAAAAAGAUAGUUGAAGUAUUACUUAGAUUCUUCAACUCACUGCUCACCAAUAUUAGUUACUGAGAAUACAAACACAAUUUAAGUAGCCUAGAUACCUUAAACUUUCUGUGACUAUAAAAUAUUGAUCGUCAACAUGAAUACAGAAAAGGUUCAAUAGUAGAUACUAUUAACUUAUGUUAUUCAAACUUUUAUUUGACAUCCUACUAACCAUUUCACCUUAUCACAUUUUAAAGCAUUAUUGUAAACACUUCUGUCAUCCUUUAAAAAUUAUUCUGUCAAAAAUAAAGCUUGAUAUAAUAAUCUAUAUAGAUAUACUACUCUUAAUUGGAAUUGAGGUAGCAAUUUCUAAAAGUAGAUGACAAAAAAAUAGAUGUGAUAACUUUAUUUUACAAGUGAACUAAACAAGACAAAUGAUCCUUACCCCUCUUCGUGUACUUCCCUUGUCACUCCAAAAAUCCAAAUAAGCAUAAUCUUAAUGUAGAUAUAGAAGAAUAUAUAGAAGAACAUGGGAACUUUUGUCAAACCAUGUCAAGGAAUUAUAAAUGAUAUG